UUGUUAUGUCAUGUCAUGACUGUAUGACUUCAUUUAAGCAGACUUAUUUGGUCUUUUGAAAUCUUCAAUUCAAAGCAUGAAAGCAACUAGAGAUUUCAAGAAUUGGACCUGAAGAUAUUGAAUAAAACACAGCAGGAAUUCUCAGUGGAUCAAACAGAUCCAUAAAUCCAGUGAAUUUUCUCCUAAAAGCUCCACUCAAGGCAAUUUCUUUUGGUUUGUAAGAUGAUUUCCUGGAUUUGAGAACAAGGUCUUUAAUGGAUGAAGAAAGUUCUUGGAGCUCUUUACGGGUAGUAUUGAUGACAUCUUCUUGUUCUUUGUCUAAUUUAUCUUUCAAGGGAUCAUCUCCCUGUCCAGUCUUCUUAUUUUGAUUAACUAACUGUUUUACAACCAAACCCUGAUACUUUACCAAAAGAGUAUGCUGAUCCUGUGAAAAGAGAAAAGAGAAGUUAACAAAUCCAUGAUUUGAUUUUCCAUGGAACUAAGUAGAAUUUAUUCAACCUAUACUCACUGAUGGUCUUCAUUAUUACAAAACUUUGGCUGUGUAAGUUUAAGAUUGAAUCUAUCAAGGUCCCUGGUCACACACAAUUUACAGUUAAGGGAAGAUAAAGUAUGAUCACAGAUCACUCUACUGUAAGUUGAUUUACCUAAGUUCCAUCACCAAAGAUAAUGUGAAAGUGAAAUGGAAGUUCAAAGAAGGCAAACUGUUUUUAGCUGCAAAGUGUCUCAGAAGAAUGUGUGCAGGAUAAGACUUUUCGAGCUGGUUUUUAAAGGGGCAGGUUAAACCUCCAUAAGCAGACUGGACUUAACUGCAACAUUUUUAAAAGCCUAAUUUCCAAAUUUACACUAUUCUUUCCCAUAGAUCUAGAAGGAUCCUUAAAGAUUCUUGAGUUUUACUAAUUUACUGCUGCCAUUCCUGGAAGCAGGAAGAUGAUAUUAAUAUGUUUUGUGUCUUAGAGUUUACAAUGAUUCACAUCUAUUCACUCAAAAUAUUAAGAAUCAAAAAGCUUUAAAAAUUUCAAAUGUACUAAAAAUGUAAUACCUCUGGAAUUCUGCUAUUAAGAAAAGCAAUGAUCUGUGGGACACAUCUUCCAGGUGCAUGGAGCAUGCUGUGGGUUGAGAACUGAAAUAAUAGGACUGAUGUGAGGUGCAGAAUAAGAGCAGGGUCUUCAGUGACUUUUAGCUGUUCAGACAGUGCUUGUCUAUGCUGGAACAGUAGUUGCCUUAAAAAAAGGAAAAUCACAAAAAUAGGUUAACAUAUUUUAGUGAAUUUUUACCAACUGGACUUUUUUUAUUAAGUUCUUCCAUUCUAUAUAAACUGUUAGCUUCUCUAGUUUAAUUAUACAACUUAUUUCCAUGAACAUUUUAAGGGAUCUUUUAGAUAUCAGACACAGAAACACGUUAACUGUAAAUGGCAUGAUAAAUAUGCUAAAAAAUCACAGAAACAGCUGGGUAUCAAGGUUAUUCAAAGUAUACUUUUUAUUUUUGAGUUGUUGAUUAAAUAGAACUGCAUUGGUUUAAAUAAGUUUUCUUCUAAUGUAGAUCUCAAAGCUAAGAAAAAGCUCCAAGACUUGAUCAACUAAAGGUUUAAGGAAUUCUGAGACUUGAUUAAGAUAGGCCAGAGAAGGACAUCUAAGUAUAUUAAGAUUAAAUAUGCUUAAAGUUCUACAGCCAUUUAGAAACAAUAGUUCUCUCUGCAAGAUUCAGACAGUCAAAUUCCAAUAUCAGAUAUGAAAUAUCACACAUAGAAUUAACAGUAUAGAGCAAUUCAAUAUUACCUUUCCCUCUUUUUGUCUCCUCUUUUCAUCAUAAUAUCACAAGCUUCUGCUGCAGCAUCCAGACAAGAAAGAAAGUCUUCUAUGCUCUGAAAAGCUCUGACCUACAGUGGACCUAGAAUAAUGAGAAGAGGAGGAAGAGGAGUCUCAGGACUAUUUCAGAAGUCAGAGAAUCCAACAAACUAAGAUUUCAAAACAAAACAUCAAGAGUGUCAAGAAAAUCACAACAUACUUCACUUGUAAUUGUUGCAGGAUCUUCUACCGCCAUCAUUAAAUCCGAAGCUAAGAAGUUGAAAAUGAGGUUUGAAACCUCCUCUUGCAAGUCCUUGAUUGUGCGCUUUCUGCCAGUUCCAGAGGCAGAGGAAGUUGAAGACAUGAAUACUGAACGUAUCACCUCAAGGGAGGACUCUCUGAGGAACUGACAUUUAAAGUUGAGCUCUCAAUGACAAGAAGAAACCAGGAAAUUGAAGUUUGGGAGAGAACAUGCCAGGUAGAGGGCACAGCUAGUGCAAAGACCCUGAGGUGAAUGUGGCUGGAACAGAGAAACUCCAAAGUCCAGUUUUACUUGGAUACCUGAGAUUACUAGAAAGGAAAUGGUGUUAAUUCUUACCUGGGCCCAGAGCGAUGUGUGUAGGACAUUACUGAAGAUUUAUCCAUUUUUUAUACAAGAACCGGGGUACAGACCAGAUGCACGGAAGGGCAAGAGGACCCACCAGAGACAGAGUGAGGAACAGAACAGGCAGACUGACGAAAUACACUGCUGAGGGGAGCAGCAGGCGAGAAAGAAGAGGCAUAUACAACUUGCUAUUUUGGAGCUCCCUGUUAUCACAAUAAUUCAUUCUGACAGUACCUUGACAGAUGGGACUCCAGUUUUUCUGCUAGAGAAACUUGGGGAUUUUUGCUUCCAGCAAUAUGAAGGGCUCCAUCACCUAUGAAAUGUACUGAAUAUAAUGUAACAAUUUUUUAACAUUCACAAGGAAACACCUCAUUGUCUAAAAGUAAAGAAAAUGCAGGAAUCUGGGUUGGUAAUCCAAUGCUGCAUUUGUGGCUGCAUGAAGGUAUUUUCUGGUACCAGGAGAUUUGGUUUUCUUGGCUGAAAUAAUACCUUGUACCUUGUGAUUCUAUAGCCAGUUCCUCCAAAGGGAUAUUUUCUCAGAAUAGUCUUUCGGAAAAGAAGGUCUUCUCAUCAGCAAAGGUACAUGACACUUGUUCAUCCUUGGCUCAAGCUUUAGAUAAGUGAAUGAUAGUACUGUAUUUCUUAGCAAUUCCUAAGUAUAAUCCUGACUUCAUGUGAAGUUGGUACUUUGAUCUAUAUAAUCCCAAACUUAGAAAUUAUUAUAAUUUCUGGCAGAAGUAAGUAAAAUUACUCUCUAGAAAAUUCACUUUUAAGAUAGUUCCCCUUAUUUCCAUAGAUUUAGAUUAACUGAGCUCAGAAUUCAAAAUUUUAAAACACUGAAGGUACCAGUCAUGAAUGAGAAUCAGUACGAGCAAACAAUAGUUAAAAGCAUGCUAGAAUAUCAAUAGGAAUUUUGUUUUUUGUUUUUUGUUAUUUUGGUUUGCUUGUUUGUUUGUUUUUUACCAUGAAAGAGACAUAUAGGUUUAUAGGUUAAGAGGAAAACAGAAUUAAAAUGGAACAAUCAGGAGAAAUAAUUGAUGGAACUCCUGUAGUUCAUUGGAAGAGAGGCGGCAAGCAGAGGUCAAAGGACCCAUUCUUCCCCUGAGGAAGGGAAGCUUAUGUUGAAAUGCUGAAUUAGAAAUAGGAAAGACCUUCUUGCAUUCAUGGUUCAAUUUUCUCAAUAUUAUAGGAAGACCAUAGGAGGUGAGAGUGGAUAGUGAAAUUGGUAGCCUGAGUACAUGGGAACAGUUUGUAUUCUGCAGGAAGGAUACAGUGAUAAACAAGAAAGAGAGAAGGACUGAUGAUCAGUGUCGAGAGCCCAAGUAUAGACAUAGGGAUUUGAAAUACAUUCAUUCUGUGAGAUUGUGGCAUUUUCUGUUACCCAUGGAAAGAUGGAAAAGCUAUAAAAAAGCAAUUACAGCUAAAGUCAUUUAAACCAAGUGCAAACAAAUAACUGGAAUUCUUGCAUCAAGAUAAAAAUGAAAUUUUAUUCAAUAU
Talpa occidentalis (Iberian mole) is the source of this 3885-nucleotide long non-coding RNA. RefSeq lists it as uncharacterized. The record is from RefSeq and is a predicted model, not a curated record. The transcript is spliced from 10 exons. Lineage: Eukaryota; Metazoa; Chordata; Mammalia; Eulipotyphla; Talpidae.